UGCUAUGAUGGUGUAAUUUGCGUCUUACUCUGCGUGCAGUGACGGUUUGCCUACUGUCUUAUAGCUGGCGCAGUGGGCUGACGAGAACGUGAUUCUGAGCA
Molecule: small nucleolar RNA, 101 nt
Organism: Esox lucius (northern pike)
Lineage: Eukaryota; Metazoa; Chordata; Actinopteri; Esociformes; Esocidae
Gene: SNORD16
Rfam family: Small nucleolar RNA SNORD16
About the family: U16 is a member of the C/D class of snoRNA which contain the C (UGAUGA) and D (CUGA) box motifs.
Source: Ensembl